ACCAGAGCAGUUGUGAGUUCUUUCACGUUCUCUCGCCGCCACUGCUCCAUCUCUCUCCGUCGGCGCGCGUCCCACCGCCUCCGACGGGGAUCCCUAAUUGGAUGGCGCGGCGCUCAGUACUUCUCCACUAUGGUACGAUUCUUGGCCUCCAUUAAACAGCGCCUUUUCGCCGCCACCCAUAUCCCCACCGGACGCCUCUCCAUGUCGCCACCCUCAUGCGAUCCUGCCCUCUCGAUCCCCGCGUUGCUCCGGACUUUUUCCGCUGGAUCGAACGACACUCAUGUUUCCUUCACACCUUCGAUUCCUGUUCUUCCCUGCUUCAAAUCGUUGCCAGAUUCGGCCUCCACCGCCCCGCCGAGGAGAUCGUUGUCUCCGUGAUUAGGUCAUGCUCCACCGCUGAAAUUGACUCGGUUCUUGAAACUUCAAAUCCUUGCAUCUGACGGGUUUCACGCAGUUUAUCCAAAGCUGUAAUUUAAUGCUGAUGGCUCUUGCAGGGCUAAUAUGAAGGACUUAUACGAACAAAUGCAAAAAAGAUGAUAUAUUUCCCAAUCUUCAUAUCUACAAUACAAUGAUCAAUGCAAAUUGCAAGAAAGGGAAAGUUAUCGAUGAAUUAGAUCCAGAUACUCACACAUACAGCUCAUUCAUCUUGGUCUAUUGUGCAGAUGAUGAUUUGGAGCAGGGUCUGGUCCCAAAUGUUGUUACUUUACAAUGUUUUGAUUGAUGGCUACUGCAAAAUUAGGAAGGUUGAUCACACCUUCCAUUCCAUGUAUUGGAUUUGAGGAAGUCCAGAGGGUGUAAGCCAAAUGUGAGGACUUAUACUGAAUUAGUUUGUGGGCUUUUCUUCAGAUGAAGAUGCACAAGGCAAUGACAUUAUUAACUAAGAUGCUUAAGGAUGCAGUACUAACCAUGUCAAUUACACUACAUUGGUUCAGGGAUACUAUAUGGAAAGUGACACAAAAAAUUGGAUUUAGGUUGCUGCAUUUGAUGGAGAAGUGAGGCUUAUUUCCCAUGAUAACUGAAAUGAAGAGAAAUAGAGUUGACAAUCCAUAUAUUGAUGGAUUGAUAAAUGUGAGUUUUUUUGGUCAAGCUUUGUCUAGUUCUAUAUUAUGAUAAAAGAUGCAUGUGAGCCCAAUGAUGAAACUUACUUCCUAUUGCUGAAAUCCUAUUGAAAAAGAAAUAAGCUGAUGUUACCUUCAUAGAUGAUGCUGAUAUGUGGGGAAAAGUGGGUAUCGAUAUAGUCUCAAAGCUGUUUACAAGAUUCUGAACAAGGUUGCAACCCAAUAGUAAAAUCUUACAGUUUUUGUUGAAGCUUUUUGCAAGGUGCAUCGCUUGGUGGAAGCUAAGGCUUUGCUCUUCCACAUGCAAGAAGCCUCUAAACUUCCUAAUGCAGAUACAUAUACACCUCUAAUUAUUUGUUGCUGUAGACUAAACAAGUAUUUAGAAGCUCUAUCAUUUUUUGAUUCCAUGGUUUCAUGUGGUCAUCUGCCAUAUCUUGCAUCUUAUCAGCUACUGCAUUGAGCAUUCUGGACAUUGUGAAGAAGGAAGCUUUGAUGAAGUUAAAUCAGUUUUCACUAGCUUUCUUUUGAAGGGUUAUAGGUGCGAUGAAAUUGCAUGGAAAAUUCUCAUUGACACUUUACUUGAGAAAGGUCAUCUUGAUUUGUGCUCUGAUUGUUUGACUAUGAUGGAGGAAUGAAGUGUUUUCCUAGUCCUGUGAUAUAUACAGCUUUGGCCAAGAAACAUUCAUAUGUAAUUAAUGGGCUCCCUAAUGAUUGACAUUGACUUGCAGAUAUCUAUAUAUCAAAGCUUCAUAUGUUCACAUUGGACCAGUUCAAAUGCACAAAGCAAUUUGUUCAGUAAUGUAAUCAGUGUUGUGCAUUUGGAACAGAUUUUGAUCUUUGAAGAUCCCAUUCAAAGAUCCAAGCAGCUAUCUCAUUGGAGAGUCAAACCAUCAUUGGGCAGGGAUUAGGGGAAGCCAGCUUGCAGUGAUGAAAAAGAGUUAAUCAUCGCCUAAGUUCAAACCAUCAAGAGUGUUUUUUUAGCUUAUUCUUUUAUAGGAACUCUCCUGUGCCUUUGCUGCUACUGAGGAGCUGACGGUAUGGUAUUACUGGGCGACACAUAAUAUUUUGCAGUCUAGGGAACAAAUGACAAUUUCAAAAUCAUAGGGGUAAAGUAAUAUUUUCCAUUUUCUUCUUUUUUGUAUUAUUGAAAAUUUCUUUGUUGCUGUCUUUCUUGGUUCUUAAUUUUCUUCUGCUUCAAUUACUAACUUCUAGAUCUUGAUUCUGGAUAGUUUAUUGUUAUAAGAACAUCCUGGAAUAAUACUAAUUUAAUGACUUCAAAACUUGACAGAUGGAUUUGGAUUAGUGCAACCUUAAGUGUUUGGUAUCUCUACAAUGAGUCGUGGUAAAGAGUAUUCAAUACACUCAUAUGUCCACAAUCUCUUGCUCACCUUUAGAUUUUGAAACAGUAAAUCGAAUUGUAGAAUAUUAUUUCCCUGAAUGAAGUAAAUAACUUUCAACUAUAAAAAAAUUUAUUGUCCCCAUAGGGGUGCCUAGUUGGCUAGAGGGUGAUAUAUUUGCUACAAGGGAACGGAUUAAUUCUCAGCAGGUGCAUGCUAUUGGCGAAAAACUUCUUCCACCCUCUAGUCACUUGCCAGUUUAUUAUAAGUUGAUCUCGUGAUUUACUUUCCUUCACAUAAUUUGGGAACAAGUUGUGAAGGGCGCAUGGGAUGAGCAUAAUCACUUUUUAUUGCAGCAACUAUAACAAGAAUUAUUAUUUUACCUCAUUUGGCAUGGACACAACAUGAUUAUGUUUUAAUAAUAAAUUGGUGAGUACAAACCAAUCACUACCAAAAAAAAAAAAAAGUUAGCAGUUAGGAAGGAAAAAAAAUAGGUUGGAAAGUUGAUUUAGUACAAAUAAAAUAGAUAAAUAUAUGAUGGAACAAAUCAUUGAUUGAUUAUGUUCCUAGAGGACCAAGAUCAAAUCUAGCAACAUAUGGAUGUCUAGAUUCAUUUGUUUGAUUUUGUUCAUCUCGUCCACUUUGAAGAAACCCUACUUCAAUCAUGUACUCAAUUUUCAACUGUAUGUCCUUUAUACAAAAGGAUGAGAUAGAAAGAAAGAUUUUUUCCUUAAUGGAUAGUAGAUCUGAGAAUGUUGGCUUUCAGGAUGGGCUUCCAUGUGCACUUUCCCGAUUUAUCCAGGUGUCCGGUGAGAAAUUUCGUGGGGCUGGACCGAUCAUCCCAGAUUUGACGUUAGACCUACUUAAUCAUUUUUUUAAUGAGAUAGAAUGAAAGAGAUAUUUGCUUGCAUAAUGUAAGUAUAAAAGUUACAUUUAUUUAGUCCAUCAUUAUUGAUUAUUUAGGAUGACAUAGUCAAAAUUAAAAAUAUUUUCUCAAAUUAGUUCACUUCAAACUCACUCCAUGACAAAUCCAAAAAACCUAAAGUUUAUUGAACAUUUAUCUUUUUACCAACAUAGGUUUUGCCUCAGGUUUCAUUCAGUUCAAUUUAUU
Molecule: long non-coding RNA, 3506 nt
Organism: Zingiber officinale
Lineage: Eukaryota; Viridiplantae; Streptophyta; Magnoliopsida; Zingiberales; Zingiberaceae
Exons: 3
Source: RefSeq, a predicted model, not a curated record